CCUAAGGUAGCGAAAUUCCUUGUCGGGUAAGUUCCGACCUGCACGAAUGGCGUAACGACUUGGGCGCUGUCUCGACCAUGGACCCGGUGAAAUUGCACUGGUCGUGAAGAUGCGACUUACCCGCGGAAGGACGGAAAGACCCCGUGAACCUUCACUGCAGCUUGGCAUUGGCCGCUGGUCCCGCGUGUAGAGGAUAGGCAGGAGGCGAAGAUCCGGAGGCGCCAGCCCCCGGGGAGCCGCCCUUGGAAUACUGCCCUCGCGCGACCGGCGUCCUAACCCGAGGCCGUCAACCGGCUCGGGGACCGUGCCAGGCGGGCAGUUUGACUGGGGCGGUCGCCUCCUAAAGGGUAACGGAGGCGCGCGAAGGUCCGCUCGGGACGGUCGGCAACCGUCCUUUUGAAUGCAAGAGUACAAGCGGGCUUGACUGCGAGGCCCACAAGCCGAGCAGGUGCGAAAGCAGGCUCUAGUGAUCCGGCGGCCCCGAGUGGGUGGGCCGUCGCUCAACGGAUAAAAGGUACUCCGGGGAUAACAGGCUGAUCUUGCCCAAGAGUCCACAUCGACGGCAAGGUUUGGCACCUCGAUGUCGGCUCAUCGCAUCCUGGGGCUGGAGCAGGUCCCAAGGGUACGGCUGUUCGCCGUUUAAAGCGGUACGCGAGCUGGGUUCAGAACGUCGUGAGACAGUUCGGUCCCUAUCCUCCGUGGGCGCAGGAGAAUCGAUGGAGGCUGCCCCCAGUACGAGAGGACCGGGGUGGACGCACCUCCGGUGAACCGGUUGUCGACCAACGGCACGGCCGGGUAGCCGCGUGCGGCGCGGAUAACCGCUGAAGGCAUCUAAGCGGGAAGCCGUUCCAGGGAUUAGUUCUCCUUCCGGUAAGGGCCCAGGUAGACUACCUGGUCGAUAGACGGCAGGUGCAAGGCUGGCGACAGCCUCAGCCGAGCCGCACUAAUCGCCCGAGCUCUUCCGGAA
RNAcentral lists this ribosomal RNA (967 nucleotides) under human gut metagenome. RNAcentral's name for it is "bacterial LSU rRNA". It matches the Rfam family "Bacterial large subunit ribosomal RNA", at positions 1950 to 2925 of the family's 2925-position model. The record is from RNAcentral.